This 315-nucleotide long non-coding RNA is filed under the name Brassica napus (rape). RNAcentral's name for it is "long non-coding RNA (BNAP_LNC014425)". The record is from RNAcentral. Lineage: Eukaryota; Viridiplantae; Streptophyta; Magnoliopsida; Brassicales; Brassicaceae.
UUGGAGAAAGAGCACGAAGUAGUAGAGAAGAGAUAUGAUGUUAGAUGAUAUGUGACUUUGGGGUUUAGGGAUUUCAUUCUCGGUGUUUAGGGUUAAGCGUUGUAAAAUCAUCGUAAAUGGUUAUCUAUUCCACGUAAUUUCGUCGUAAAUCGAAAAACGUGGGCCUGGUAACUUCGUCGUAAAUGAAAAAACGCGGGCCUGGUAAGUUCGUCAUAAUGUUACGUCGCGUUUACGACGAAACAUUUUCUAUAUAUUGGGACGCCUGGACGAGGCUGCCUCGUCCAUUCCUCCCAAACUCCUCUCCUCUCCCUAAGG